AAACAAUGUAAUUCUUAAAUUAUUAUGACCUCCAAAAUGAUAUCAUAAUCAUGAAAUAAUAGCAUAAGUUUAAUGACAAGAUCACUUCAGUUAUAUUUUUGUUUGGUUUUGGUCAUCAAGUUUUGUACAUCCUUCAUUUAGUAGAUGUAUAAAUUUGCUUGUACUUUAAAACUUGUGAAUAGUGCUAAUAUAAAUAUCAAAUUAAUUAUACGAUUAAUGAGUAUUAUCAAUUAGUCUUUUUACUUUAUUUUCUAUGCGACUGUAUUACAAAAAUUACAAAUCUUAUGAAUGUGUUAAAACCUUCUUAGGCUGAAUGAAAUCACUAUAAAUUCAGAGCAAAAGAUUCAUGUCACUUGAUACCAAAAGCAUUAAUCUAUCAGUCCAAAGGAUCAAUAUGUUGUCUAAUACAUUCAAGAUGUAUAAAAACAGUUGUUUUAAAGAGGCUGUCCAAGUAAAUAUCAGGCAAAUCCUAUGAUAUGGGUGGUACAGCAUAAUUUUUUUCCCACUGAAUUUUUGGCUCCAAUGCAAUGUUCAUAUCUUACAAAGGAUAUACAUGUAUAUGUCAAAGAUAUGUUUGAAUCAACAGUGGAUGGCUCAAAAAAUGAUUUUAAAGUUCACUAACAAUGCAACAAAAUUUGUACAAAAUGAAGAGUUAUCUCCCCUUUUCAAUGAAUAUUUAGUGCUUUCUAUGUAUUUUUUUUCUUUUUAUUUGUUGCAGUAAAUAAAAAAACAAAAUUUAACUUUGAGAAAGAAUGAAUUUGUGAUAUGAAAUUAAUAAAAAAAAAUUGAAAACAAAAAAUGUCAUGUGCCAUCCACUGCCUGGUUUUACCAGCAUGUAGUUUAUUAAAGAAAUAAAACUAAAGGUAUUACAGUUAUGUUGACUAAAUUGUUAAUUAACUGAAAUCACAAUAAAAAUGAAUGCAAUAUUUUUUCUUUUCUGAAGGAAUUGUAUAUAUAGAUUAAAACAUCAUGUGAAAAUCGUCAUUGAACAUUAAAUAUUUAUUCAUAACACA
RNAcentral lists this long non-coding RNA (1013 nucleotides) under Mytilus galloprovincialis (Mediterranean mussel). The record is from RNAcentral. Lineage: Eukaryota; Metazoa; Mollusca; Bivalvia; Mytilida; Mytilidae.